CUACGUGCCAGCAGCCGCGGUAAUACGUAGGUGGCAAGCGUUGUCCGGAUUUAUUGGGCGUAAAGCGAGCGCAGGCGGUUCCUUAAGUCUGAUGUGAAAGCCCCCGGCUCAACCGGGGAGGGUCAUUGGAAACUGGGGAACUUGAGUGCAGAAGAGGAGAGUGGAAUUCCAUGUGUAGCGGUGAAAUGCGUAGAUAUAUGGAGGAACACCAGUGGCGAAGGCGACUCUCUGGUCUGUAACUGACGCUGAGGCUCGAAAGCGUGGGUAGCAAACAGGAUUAGAUACCCUGGUAGUCCACGCCGUAAACGAUGAGUGCUAAGUGUUGGAGGGUUUCCGCCCUUCAGUGCUGCAGUUAACGCAUUAAGCACUCCGCCUGGGGAGUACGACCGCAAGGUUGAAACUCAAAGGAAUUGACGGGGGCCCGCACAAGCGGUGGAGCAUGUGGUUUAAUUCGAUGCAACGCGAAGAACCUUACCUACUCUUGACAUCCAGAGAACAUUC
Molecule: ribosomal RNA, 501 nt
Filed under: uncultured bacterium
Lineage: Bacteria
Description: bacterial SSU rRNA
Rfam family: Bacterial small subunit ribosomal RNA
Source: RNAcentral